AGCGAACGCUGGCGGCAGGCCUAACACAUGCAAGUCGAACGAACUCUUCGGAGUUAGUGGCGGACGGGUGAGUAACACGUGGGAACGUGCCUUUAGGUUCGGAAUAACUCAGGGAAACUUGUGCUAAUACCGAAUGUGCCCUUCGGGGGAAAGAUUUAUCGCCUUUAGAGCGGCCCGCGUCCGAUUAGCUAGUUGGUGAGGUAAAGGCUCACCAAGGCGACGAUCAGUAGCUGGUCUGAGAGGAUGAUCAGCCACAUUGGGACUGAGACACGGCCCAAACUCCUACGGGAGGCAGCAGUGGGGAAUCUUGCGCAAUGGGCGAAAGCCUGACGCAGCCAUGCCGCGUGAAUGAUGAAGGUCUUAGGAUUGUAAAAUUCUUUCACCGGGGGCGAUAAUGACGGUACCCGGAGAAGAAGCCCCGGCUAACUUCGUG
Molecule: ribosomal RNA, 433 nt
Filed under: uncultured bacterium
Lineage: Bacteria
Description: partial 16S ribosomal RNA
Rfam family: Bacterial small subunit ribosomal RNA
Source: RNAcentral